UCAAGAUCUGCGUUUCAAAUUUGAAAUUGAUUUUGGAAGAAUUGUUGAGAGAGAAGCGCGAAGGUUGAGAGGGAGACUGUGACCUAGAGAGAGAGGCCGAGAGAGUUGGAGAAAGGGAGUUCGAGAGAGAGAGUGGUCCGACGGAGUGCUUGCCGGAGUGCCCGCUGGACAACGUUGAAGGGUAUCGAUUCACGGUCGCCGAUAUCGGUUCACGGCCGUUACCGAUUCACGGCCGCCGCAGCUCCGACGUUGGCCAACGAAGCGAAGACGGAAUCGUGUUUCGUCCGGCCCAGCGAAGUAGGGGCGCGUUCAAGGUCUCGCUUCGUCCCAACUCCUUCUGUCCCUGUGCCGGAGUGCCGUCGGAGCAUCGCCGGAGUGUGGACUGUUCGGUGGACGAAAAAGAGGGGUCGUCAUAGGAUACAGGAGAGGUGGUUCUGUAAAAUGGGUUGUCCUGAAGAAAGGACAAGCAACUCCAAGCCUUAUCAGCUUCACUUGAUUAGCUUUUGGGGCCUAUAUCUUUCAUGUGGUGUUGUCUCUCUUGUUGCACUCGUUCUGUUUCUGCUGCGAAAGAUUCGGCAAUACUCCCGCUUCAAAAAAAGGCAAAAGGAUAUAUCUUCUUCAUCCUCAAAACAACCAUGAGGCAGUCAGUGUUACCAUGUUGUUGUUAACUUGUUUAAAUUUAUUAGUCAGUCACUGAUCCCAGGAUAUUGGCUUUGUUUGUUCACUUGGCUUAUUAUUUAAUUUAUUUAAUUUUUCUCUGAAUUGUACCAAUAAAUCAAGUUUGGAACUCAAGUCCUAUCGAAUUUAUUAAU
Vigna umbellata (rice bean) is the source of this 812-nucleotide long non-coding RNA. RefSeq lists it as uncharacterized. Lineage: Eukaryota; Viridiplantae; Streptophyta; Magnoliopsida; Fabales; Fabaceae. The record is from RefSeq and is a predicted model, not a curated record.